This 384-nucleotide ribosomal RNA is filed under the name uncultured bacterium. RNAcentral describes it as "bacterial SSU rRNA". It matches the Rfam family "Bacterial small subunit ribosomal RNA", at positions 30 to 407 of the family's 1533-position model. The record is from RNAcentral.
AUUGAACGCUGGCGGCAGGCCUAACACAUGCAAGUCGAAUGGUAACAGGAAACAGCUUGCUGUUUCGCUGACGAGUGGCGGACGGGUGAGUAAUGUCUGGGAAACUGCCUGAUGGAGGGGGAUAACUACUGGAAACGGUAGCUAAUACCGCAUAACGUCGCAAGACCAAAGAGGGGGACCUUCGGGCCUCUUGCCAUCAGAUGUGCCCAGAUGGGAUUAGCUAGUAGGUGGGGUAACGGCUCACCUAGGCGACGAUCCCUAGCUGGUCUGAGAGGAUGGACCAGCCACACUGGAACUGAGACACGGUCCAGACUCCUACGGGAGGCAGCAGUGGGAAUAUUGCACAAUGGGCGCAAGGCCUGAUGCAGCCAUGCCGCGUGUAUG